AUUUUAUAUGAAGCACUUAGAACACAUAGAAAAAACACCAAAAGUCAGGUAUCAUCAUUAAUGAAUAAAAGGACUUAGAUUUUUAGAACUGUUGGCACACCAGUGAUUAUAAAGGAGGGUUUCCUUCGGGUGAAAAAAAUACAAGACUGGUUGUGGUAUUUCUCAAGCUUUGGAAAGUGACUAAAUUGUCACCAUGCUGAGAUUUAUUUAUUUGUUUAUUAUCUUUCUAUCUUAUCUCUUGGUUCAGUGUCUGGCACAGACUUAGCAGUUGACAAAUGUUUAUUGAAUGAAUGGAUGAGCAAGUAGAAAAGCCACCCGUCUUGUCUAAUUCUGAAGGUUAUUUCAUUGAGACCAUAUCAUUUUGGUGCAAACUGAAAUUGUGUGUCUAUGAGAGGGGCCACGUGCCCAUGGAAUUCAAACUUGUCAUAAUUCACCAAUGGGACAAUUGGGGGAGUAUCAAGUUCCUUUCAUAUAAUUGGGUGCAGAACUCUUCUGGACUUUGGCAUUACGAAGUUGGGUUACAAAUGUCAUGAGAACAGACUCUCUGGCAAAAUAUCUAAUGUUGCUGCUUCCAGUCUCAACCAGACGUAUCAGGAGACUAGCUUUUCCCAGGGUGUUUUAGGGCUUCAGGUUCUGGUCCCAACUGGAAUCUAGUAGUAAAACAACUUUGAAGUAAACACUCAGAAUGUUAGUGAAAAAGCUUAGUUCAGUAUUAAGUGUAUCAAUAGGUGAAGCUGGGGGAUGGGGUGAGGAGAAUGAGUGGAAGGAGUAUGGGCAUAUUUUCCCCCAAAUUAUCCCUGAGUGAAGGUGUAUGUUGGAAAGUCCUAGAUGGAUCUAUUGGGUAUCUUAUAUGCCAUUUCACAGUUAUGUGCAGAAGUAGGGUCAGAUCAGCUGAAUUGUUGCUGUAUUAAUGUGGUAGCUUAGCCAUUUGGAGUUAAUUGUUAAUCAAGCCGGACAUUAUCUGCAAUACCAUUCUGAGAGGUAGAAAGACAAAAAUCCAGUAUCUUAUUACCCUUGUCAUCAAAAUGCUCUAAAAAUUCUUGGAUAAUAGCCAUCAGAAUGGCAGAGACAGGCUAUUAUAAGAACUCGAAAUGUCUUCUGUUUCUGGUUUUUAUUUUCAAAUAAUUUUAUCUGUGAACUAAAAUCAGCCAGGAAGGAUCUGCCACACACUGGAAAUUGCAAAGGCUGGCUUCCAGCAGCACCCUCUCUGUGACACUCAUUUUGCUACUAAGAGAAGCCACUUAACAAACCAAUUUUCAACAGGGGGAGAUGAAAACACAAUAGUUAAUCAGGUUUUACAAGGUCACACAUCUCAUUCAAAUUGUAAAAGGACCCCGUUAGUACCUUCUUUCCCUUGUUCUCAAUGUAGCCUUUCUACAAAUUGAGGGCUCACCACUUUGGAUCCUCCUACGAGAUAGCAGUCAGUUCAUAAAGGCUUGAAGUACCAUUUUCCUGAGAAAAUGAGAGCCCCUUUGGAGCCUAUUAACACCCUUUUUUUAUGGCGAGCUGAGCAAGUAGCCACCAUUGACAUGUGUUGGCACUUUCUAAAAGGUCAUUAAUGCUCCAUAUUUCAGAGUAUACCAAACCCAGGAAGGCUCAGAGGAGCCCAGCAGGGGUAAAAUAAAAACAGUGAGUAAUUGACAGCACUUCUUGUCUCACCUGGGUGGGCCAUGCCGAAUGUGGGGGCGAGAGAAUUAGGACCCUCCCCUCUGUGAAUUUGCAGGGUCCUAGCAACUUCUAGGUAAAAUCUAGAAAAACGAGCUUUUAAGAAACAGCCUUGAUCAAAUCUCCACGCUAUAGGAAAGCGGCUUCACAAUGGUUCCUAUUCUGCUCCCCCUCCUUCCUCUUGAGAAUGAUUUUCUACAUGGGUGGGCCUUUUUUGCCUUCUGAUAUUUCUGAAGUUUUGUUGUGAUUCUUUGAUAACAUUCUACAUUGAAAUUGGAAAUUGGUGGAAAAAUCUGCAGCUUUAUUUUAUUUUGAGUUCUCAAAUUUUGGAGACUUUCUUUUUUUUCUAGAUAAAUUCAUCAUGUAUUUCCAGCUACGUGCAUUUUAGCAUGUUGCUAAAACUUGCAUUGCACACUAGAUUGAUGAGGUUUAUCUUCUUAAGUUAUAUGUCUGAGCGAGGAAUGAAUAUGAACUUUUUAAAUAAACUUUGAAGUGUUAUCACAAAUGUAAUGCAUAUCUAAAGUUCACUUAUAUAAAUCUUUGCAGAGCUGACAAAUCAAUGACCUUCCUGUGUAUUUAAAGACAGAUACCACACUAACUAAUACUCAGAAGCCUCUUCUUGUUUACACUGUGGUUUCCCCACAGGAUAGGAGGACCAUCGCCAUUGGCUGUUACCCCUGGUGAGGUGUUCCUGUUCCUCCUGUAUUCUUAAACCUAUUUUUUUGCCCCACUCCAGCAUUUGAUAGUGAGGAUUCUACUGAAAAGUAUCUUCUUACCAUUCAUACCUUCUGACAAUGAUAGGGAUGUUCAUGGCCCAUCAUCUACAAUUUUUCUGAUCCUGUUAGAGAACCAGAGAGGUAAGCAAGGGGCAAGUUGAGUUAUGGAUGAAGGAAGGAUCCCAUAAGAGCUGUCAGACAAUAUUCCUUCAGGUAAGUAGGUUGACUGGUAAAAGUCAAGGAUUUGUCAUCCUGUCUCAAAUUCAGUUUUCAGGGUGAUAUCAUGUAUUCCAACAACCACAAAUAGUGCCUACUAUGUGGCAGAUGCUAUUUUGGAUUCUAGAGAAACAACAGUGGAUAAAGUAGACAGAAACCCCGUUCUCAUUGUGCUUGUAUUUGGGGGUGUGUAUGUGUGUCUGUGUGUAAGAGAGGGAGACAGAGGCAGAGACAGAGAAAUGAGAAAUAAGAUAUACAAACAAAUCAAACACUACAUUAUUUAAGGUUAUAAGUGUUAUGGAAACAGUAAAGCAGGAAACAGGAGCAUGAAUGGUGAGGGGUUGUGAUUUUGAAUCAGAGUCAAGAAAACUUCACUGAGAAAUUGCCAUUUGAGUAAAGACUUGAGGGAGGUGCUUUUACUACUAACUUGGUAGUUGAUGGAUAAAAAUGAUUAUUUCUAUCAAAGAAUUUACAUUGGGAGAAUUAAGCAGAUUUCUCGUAAGAGUUCAAGAUAAAUAUGUCAGGCGUCUUAAGAAACUUAUAAGCAAAGCAGUAGCGUAAGUAGAGGAGGAAGGGAAGGGACAGUCGGUGAGGAGAGAGGUCACCUUCCACUGGAAUGAUGAGAAUUUGGUUUCACAGAAACUGAGGGGCAGUCUAGAGGUUUGAGAGUCCCAGCAGGUAUCAGUUUCCUAGAUGGAUCUUUCAAGAAGUUUUGCCUCAAGACCACUAGUAAUCUAGUGGAGUGUAAAGGUAUCAUUGCUGGUGGUUUUGCUUUCCUGGCAGCCAUCAGGCAGAGCUCAUAAGAGAACAGGUAAGUCAGGCUAAGGAUCCUGCUGCCAUUUUUGUCAGCCUCCUGGAGAGGAACAUGCCUGAGAUUUGGAAUCUUAGCUUGCUGACCAUCAUGUUUGAUUCUAAAGGUGUACUCCAUCCAGAGGAUCUUCUAGUUAAUACUUUAUUACUGGUGAGGACUUUGGCCCAGUUGCCUGUGUGUUCUCUCAUCCUGGUAAAAAGGGUUGGCCUUGAGAACUAGUUCUUUAAGCCCUCUAGCUUCUAGAUUCCUGGUCACAGGAGGACCUGGCUCCUGGGCCUCCUACCCCUGACCUCAGCUCUCUGUUUUUUCACCCUUAUUGUGAAUGGAGUCAUGGAAAAGAAAGUGAAAGUGAUCAUUUGUCCUGAUUCAGAUCUAUUUAUUAGACCCCUUGUCUCCAUGUAAAACUGCUCCUGAGGAUUCUGGUGAGUCCUUGACCCUUUCAGAUUUUUUCUUUCAGUUUUAUUGAGAUAUAAUUGACAUACAGCACUUUGUAAGUUUAAGGUAUAUAUCAUAAUGGCUUGAUUUACAUACAUUGUGAAAUGAUUACUGCAAUAGGUUUAGUCAGCAUUUAUCAUCUCGUAUAGAUACCCACCCCCCAAAGAAAGUGUUUUUUCCUCGUGAUGAGAACUCUUAGGAUCUAUUCUCUUUACUUUCAAAUGUGCCAUACAUCAGUGUUAACUAUAGUCAUCAUGUUGUACAUUACAUCCCCAGUGCUUAUUUAUCUUACAACUGGAAGUUUGUGCCUUUUGACUGCCUUUAUGUAAUUUCACCACCCUCCAUCUCUGGUACUCUGGUGACCACAAAUAUGAUCUCUUUUUCUAUGAGUUUUUUUUUUUCUUAAGAUUCCACAUUUAAGUUGAGAUCAUACAGUAUUUGUCUUUUGACUUAUUUCAGUUAGCAUAAUGCCCUCAAGCUCCAUCCAUGUUGUUGCAAAUGGCAGGGUUUCCUUCUUUUUUAUGGCUGAAUAGUAUUUAUAUCUGUAUCUAUAUCUCACAUUUUCUUUAUCAUAUUUUUAUGUCUAUCGAUGGACACCUAGAUUGUUUCCAUGUCUUGGCUAUUGUAAAUAAUACUGCAGUGAACAUGGGAGUGCAGGUAUCUCUUCAUCAUAGUAGUUUCAUUUCUUUUUGGUAAGAUACCCAGAAGUGGAAUUGCUGGAUCAUAUGGUGGUGCUGUUUUUAAUGUUUGAGGCACCUCCAUACUGUUUUCCAUAGUGGCUCCACCAGUUUACAUUUCCGCCAUGGGAUGUGUGUGAGGGUUCCCUUUUCUUUCUCCAUAUCCUUGACAGAAUUUCUUAUCCCUUGUCUUUUUUUUUUCCUGGUGAGGAAGAUUGGCCCUGAGCCAACAUCUGUUGCCAAUCUUACUCUUUUUGCUCAAGGAAGCUUGCUGCUGAGCCAACAUCUGUGCCAAUCCUCUCUACCUUCUGUGGGAUGCCACCGCAGCAUGGCCUGAUGAGUGGUGCUAGGUCUGCGCCUGGGAUCCGAACCUGUGAACCCUGGGCCACUGAAGCUGAGCAUGCACAUUCAAUCACUACACCACCAGACCGGCCGCCGUUGUCGUUUUUUAAUAGCCAUCCUAACAGGCAAUGAGAUCGAAUUCCUGUUUUGUGAGUGAAGUGUCUAAUUGGCUUGCUUUGAUCAUGUGUCCAGCCCUUGACAUAGAAGAAGACUUCCAUAACUCUGACCACUGGAGCUGAGAAGCAUCCUGAGUGAAGACCAAGCAGAAGAUCAGUGACUGCAGUCCAAAGAUAUGUAGACAUCCAAGAAAGGGUUGGAAGGAUACAAUGGGAGGCAAAACACAACAGACCAAGCUAGACUCAGCAACAGACUAUGGAGGAGAGUGAGAUGAGAGAAGCCGAUCUGGGUGUAGUGUAAGAUUAUUAUCUGAAUGUGCCUUGUCCCAGUCCCUCUGAGGGCAUCAUUACCCCCUGCCCCCUCUUAUUUAAAUGAUAUAUGUAUAAAAACUAAAGUAAUUAUCAUCCUGGGUUUCACCAACUAUGCAUGAAUGUAGUUGCAAAGUGGGAGUUGGUGAGUGGAAAGCUGUUUCUCUCCAGGUAGUAAGAGGUGAGCACUGAGGGUUUGGAUUAGUAUCAGGGCUGUUUUUUUUUUAAUUUAUUUUUUAUUUUUUUAUUUUUUUUAAAGAUUUUAUUUUUUUCCUUUUUCUCCCCAAAGCCCCCUAGUACAUAGUUGUAUAUUCUUCGUUGUGGGUCCUUCUAGUUGUGGCAUGUGGGACGCUGCCUCAGCGUGGUUUGAUGAGCAGUGUCAUGUCUGUGCCCAGGAUUCGAACCAACGAAACACUGGGCCGCCUGCAGCGGAGCGCGCGAACUUAACCACUCGGCCACGGGGCCAGCCCCUAUCAGGGCUGUUUUGUAUGGUUGUGUAGGUUGUACACUGCACAGUGUCAGAUAUUGUCCUGCACAUACACUAAAUAUGCAUAACUAACCUUCAUGGCUAUACUUGGUUGCCCUGCUAAAAGUCAAUGUCAGCUGGGGGAGUAGGGACAGCAGUAUCUCAAGGGAGCUUCAGUGGUCUGAAAUGGAGCAGCCAUGAUAGGACAUGCAGUGGGCAUGCACUAUGUGAUGGUCACCUGUGGACAAUGGCCUGAAAAAGCUCAAUGGCCUAAAUUAGAGUGCCGGCUGAGGAAAGUCUGAAACUCUGAGUCCUACGAGACACUGCUGGGAGCUCCCAGAGAUACUGGGGUUGGGAGGGAAUAUUUAAGGUCGGUGGAGGCACUGGCUACAUCUGUGAAGAUUAAGAGAAACUGAGUGUGUUGAUGUGACCUGAUUUUAUACCCCAGGUUGUAGGACCCUGGAGUUUUUUGGAUUCUUUAUGUAAAAAAAUAUGGCUAUUUUCAGACCCCAGCUUUGUAGUUGAACCCUGUUUGUUCUUUUUGGAGGCGAGUCCUUCCUUGUUAAUGGAUACAGUGCUGCUCCUGUUGAGUCCUCCACGUGCCAUCUGGCUGAGAAGGAGCCUGGUGGUCACUGUCAUAGUGUGUUCUCUCUGAACCUCGUUAACCGGCACAAGGAGUAAAGUGAAGUGACAUUAAAUGGACCAAGGAUCUGAGUUCUCCAUGAUAAACCACCAGGAAAUAAUUCUUGGCCAUGACAUUUAAAGAAAAAAGAAAAACAAAGCAAUGUUUUUUAAGUGACCUACAAUGAAGGGAAAAAAUUCAGAAUUUUUACUAAAAGGUACCCAUACAGAGGAAGAGACUGACCGGUGGAAAAUUCUUUUCCUUUCAACCUAAUCAUAACAAGGUAGACUUGAUGGGAAAUAUUUAUAAGGAAUAUUUUUAAAGGUAGAAUUUCUAAGUCCAUAGAGUUGUCAGUAUCUGGAAGGCCCCGUGUCUCCAGCACUUUAUAGAAAUUGAAAACAUGCAGCCCCUGCUACAAUCAUCUCCAGAGUCCACGCAGAACAGGGUGACAGUGAGUGAAAUGGUGGAGAGGCAAAGUUGACUCAGGCCAAGGGGACCUGGCUGGAUUUUUACUCUUUUAAAAAUGUCACCUGUCUGACACUUUGCUUGACCCCACCAUGUCCACCAUGAUAUACCACUUUAUCCUGAGUGUUUACGUAAGGGUCUCAGAAGGGGAGACACAUUUUUUUGUUAGGAUGGAAAGGUGAGGUGACUCAUGAAAAGAAACAGGGAAUAAUGGGCCUGGUAUCCAUAUGCUAUUCCAGGGUAGAACUAGUAAGAGGAUUUAUAAAGAACUUGUUUCUUUAGGAUGGAUUUUGAGGAAAAAGUGUGAUACAUGAUAUAUAUGUAGUGAAAGAAAGCAACUAACGUGUGUGAGAGACCUUUAAAUGCCAGGAGCUUCGUAUUAUCUCAUGAGGUGUGGAUAUAAUCAUUCUCACUUUAUAGAAAAGGAAAAUGAGGCUCAGAAAGCUUAAGUCACUGCCCUAGUCACAUAUCCAGUAAAUUGUGGAGUCGAGAUUGAACUGAGUUACCUCUAGUAGUGACACGUGCGCUAUUCCCACCACCCCAGGCUGCUCUUCCUUCUGAUUCCCCUUUAACCUUGGACCCCCACCAUGUUCACAUCUGUAGACGCCAUCCUGGUCCUCUGAGUGUGUGUGGCAAACAGCCCCUCAUUUGUAGCUCAGGAAGUUAGGACGACGUCUCUCCACUCUCCAGUGGUCACGUGAGAGUGUUAGCGGCUCUGCCCUAUCAUCCACAUGGCCUCUCGGUGAUCCCCAAUCACAAACCUCUGUCAUAUAUUGCUUAAAUAUACAUUGGCUAGGGUGAUAGGAUUUAUAUUCUGUUGAUUAAUUAUAAUUAAUUCUUCGGGGCUUUGUCAGUCAAGUUAAAAACUAAUUUUAAAAUUCCAGAGGUGGAAUCAGAUUCUUCUUUUUUAAAUAAACACACUGGUAUGACAGAAAUAUCAGAUUCACCCAAUAUGCCACUGCUGCCACCCUUAGAGCCAGGACAGGGAAGGAGGGGUUUCAUCUGUCAUUACUCCUGGCAGAGCACAGCACAUUCUGGAUGUGGAGAAGGCUUGGCUUAGUGUCGUUCCAGUAGCUGUCGGCACCACAAAGAAUGUGACUGCAGUUCUGCCAGCAGGAUCCACAAGGUGUACCUGCAGCCACACAGAGGGCUUAGCCUGUAACACCAGGCCACCCUAAGGAGAAGACAAAAGGCUGUCUGCUUUUUGGGGCCAUUUGGGAGUCCUAAUAGGAGUGACCAGUCUUUCACAGGCUAAGGUGCCUGUUCGUACCUUAACUUUGUCAUCCUUUCAGAUAGUAACACUCGAAACAAGUACUCGUUUAUACCUAACUCACUAUUGCACUAAUGAUUAAAAAGCUGCUUCUUCUUGCUUCUUCCCUAAGAUCUAAAGGUGGCAGCUAAUUCAGGAAAAAGUCUAGUGAUAAAGGGGAAAAUAUCUCUUUAUUGGGUGACAGUUGCUUGGAAGGCCCAUUCUACACUAAAAGGAGAUUUUUCCAGAGACCUCUACUUUGUCUAUGUGUGCAUUCUCAAAGUUGAAGCCCAUUAAAAAAGCAUUUACAAUAUUAUGUUUAUGUAAAUACUAUUCACUAUACAUUAAAGAAAUGUCACGUCUCCCUUCCCCCUUUAUGCCUUUGACCAGUCAGCAUCCUAGUGUUAGGUCAGAGGAAUUCCUUUUACUUAGACUCUUUCAAAUACUCCAAUUGUG
This 8545-nucleotide long non-coding RNA is filed under the name Equus caballus (horse). Its description in RNAcentral is "lncRNA (ENSECAG00000052427.1)". The record is from RNAcentral. Lineage: Eukaryota; Metazoa; Chordata; Mammalia; Perissodactyla; Equidae.